AAUUGCUACAUGAUUGAAUUUGCUCUCUCAGAUGCCACUGUCAAUUCACUUUGUUUUAUAUUUUUAUGAGUUACUAGAAAAUAUAUCCAGUGCUUGCUUUUGAAAGACUCGGCUUGGAUAAUAAAUCAAGUGCUCUCCCAAAUAUUUCUUUCAUUGCAGAUCUCACUAACUAUGUUGUUGUCCUGGUUAUUAUUUUCUCUAUCUGAAAAGCAGACAAGCCCAGAUUCUGGAGGCAGACUACUUUCUCUGACUACUUUCAAAUCUUGGCUCUGCCACUUACGAGCACUGUGACUGAGGGACUUUGAAUAUGUGAUCCAGAGCCAUGAAGUCACUCAUUGUCAUUAGCAUUUCAGAGCUCACCCACAGACAUCAAUACUCAGGAGACAUUAAUACUCAAUCAGACUAAGUUCAAAAGAACAUUUUGAACUUUAAGAUAUGUAGAAGAUUGUUAAGAAGAAAUGAAGAAUCAGUUAUUGCUAAAUCUGCCAAGAAGAAAAAACCCUGAAUUCAUAUUUUGGUGCACAAAUCCUCAAAAUCCAUGUGCAUAUAUAGUGGAACCUAGGCAUCAUCCAGAUAAAAGGAUAUCUCAGGAAGAACUCCUGGGUCCACCCAAUACCCACAGCUGGGCAGAGAGACAAUGAUAUCACUAUUCUGCAAGCUUCCUGAGAGCAGACACUGAAACUUGUUCCACAUCAUGUCCUCAGUACUAUGCAUACAGAAGUGUUUGAUAAUACUUGUGGGAAAUAGGUUCCAGUAUUACAAUGCCACGUCUUAUAAGAGCGUGUGAGUCUGAGGGCUGCUGACGUGUUUCCUGUUCAGAAGCAGAGAUCUCAGUUUACCUUCUGAAGACACAUGGCUCCAUUACAUGCUGCCCCUGCUAACAGUCAGCAGACCACCAAACACAUGCAUGACCCUGGUGAACAUGGGAAGAACUUUUCUGCCCAACUCCACCCAAAUUGUUAUCUUGUAAAGUCAAGCUAAGUAAAUACUUAUUGUUUUAAAUCAAUGAGU
Canis lupus familiaris (dog) is the source of this 1011-nucleotide long non-coding RNA. RefSeq lists it as uncharacterized. Lineage: Eukaryota; Metazoa; Chordata; Mammalia; Carnivora; Canidae. The transcript has 6 exons. The record is from RefSeq and is a predicted model, not a curated record.